Small nucleolar RNA from Dioscorea cayenensis subsp. rotundata (Guinea yam), 118 nucleotides. RefSeq annotates it as small nucleolar RNA snoR104. NCBI's taxonomy places the organism in Eukaryota, Viridiplantae, Streptophyta, Magnoliopsida, Dioscoreales, Dioscoreaceae. The transcript has a single exon. The record is from RefSeq and is a predicted model, not a curated record.
GGGUGUCAUGCUGAAGCUGAGAUGCUCACCCGAUACAGUCUUCCCAAAUAAAAUUUGUAAUUUCCUGCUUGCAGUACUGUGAGAAAGUUCUGCAAGUCUCAAAUUACAAAACAUCAUU